RNAcentral lists this microRNA precursor (189 nucleotides) under Oryza sativa Indica Group (long-grained rice). RNAcentral describes it as "MIR812 microRNA precursor family". It matches the Rfam family "MIR812 microRNA precursor family". The record is from Rfam by way of RNAcentral. Lineage: Eukaryota; Viridiplantae; Streptophyta; Magnoliopsida; Poales; Poaceae.
AAAAAACCAAAUCCUAGUUUUCGUUCCAUCUUUAAUUGUUUGUCUUAUAUAAAAUUGUUUUAUAAUUCAUAGUUUUAUUAUUGUUAGAUGAUAAAACAUGAUAAAUAUUUUAUGCGUGACUUAUCAUUUUAAUUUUUUUUCAUAAUUUUUUUAAAUAAGACGGAUGUUUAAACGUUAGGCACGAAAUUU